RNAcentral lists this ribosomal RNA (253 nucleotides) under uncultured bacterium. Its description in RNAcentral is "partial 16S ribosomal RNA". It matches the Rfam family "Bacterial small subunit ribosomal RNA", at positions 524 to 776 of the family's 1533-position model. The record is from RNAcentral.
UACAGAGGUCCCAAGCGUUGUUCGGAUUCACUGGGCGUAAAGGGUGCGUAGGCGGUCGGGUAAGUCUGGCGUGAAAUCUCCGAGCCUAACUCGGAAACUGCGUUGGAUACUAUCCGGCUUGAGGAAUGGAGGGGAGACUGGAAUACUUGGUGUAGCAGUGAAAUGCGUAGAUAUCAAGUGGAACACCAGUGGCGAAGGCGAGUCUCUGGACAUUUCCUGACGCUGAGGCACGAAAGCCAGGGGAGCAAACGGG